This 422-nucleotide ribosomal RNA is filed under the name uncultured bacterium. Its description in RNAcentral is "bacterial SSU rRNA". It matches the Rfam family "Bacterial small subunit ribosomal RNA", at positions 358 to 773 of the family's 1533-position model. The record is from RNAcentral.
AGAAUUUUUCACAAUGGGCGAAAGACUGAUGGAGCGACGCCGCGUGGGGGAUGAAUGGCUUCGGCCCGUAAACCCCUGUCAUUCGGGAUCAAAUUUGGCAACCUAAUACGUUGUCAGUUGAUAGUACUGACAGAGGCAGGGACGGCUAACUCUGUGCCAGCAGCCGCGGUAAUACAGAGGUCCCAAGCGUUGUUCGGAUUUACUGGGCGUAAAGGGCGCGUAGGUGGUGGGCUAAGUCUGGUGUGAAAGCUCUGAUCUCAACUCAGAAAUGGCAUUAGAUACUAGUCCGCUUGAGGAUUGGAGGGGAGACUGGAAUUCUCGGUGUAGCAGUGAAAUGCGUAGAUAUCGAGAGGAACACCAGUGGCGAAGGCGAGUCUCUAGACAAUUCCUGACACUGAGGCGCGAAAGCUAGGGGAGCAAAC